This 484-nucleotide ribosomal RNA is filed under the name uncultured bacterium. Its description in RNAcentral is "partial 16S ribosomal RNA". It matches the Rfam family "Bacterial small subunit ribosomal RNA", at positions 30 to 507 of the family's 1533-position model. The record is from RNAcentral.
AUUGAACGCUGGCGGCAGGCCUAACACAUGCAAGUCGAGCGGAUGAAGGGAGCUUGCUCCUGGAUUCAGCGGCGGACGGGUGAGUAAUGCCUAGGAAUCUGCCUGGUAGUGGGGGAUAACGUCCGGAAACGGGCGCUAAUACCGCAUACGUCCUGAGGGAGUAAGUGUGGGAUCUUCGGACCUCACGCUAUCAGAUGAGCCUAGGUCGGAUUAGCUAGUUGGUGGGGUAAAGGCCUACCAAGGCGACGAUCCGUAACUGGUCUGAGAGGAUGAUCAGUCACACUGGAACUGAGACACGGUCCAGACUCCUACGGGAGGCAGCAGUGGGGAAUAUUGGACAAUGGGCGAAAGCCUGAUCCAGCCAUGCCGCGUGUGUGAAGAAGGUCUUCGGAUUGUAAAGCACUUUAAGUUGGGAGGAAGGGCAGUAAGUUAAUACCUUGCUGUUUUGACGUUACCAACAGAAUAAGCACCGGCUAACUUCGUG